Long non-coding RNA from Nycticebus coucang (slow loris), 569 nucleotides. RefSeq lists it as uncharacterized. NCBI's taxonomy places the organism in Eukaryota, Metazoa, Chordata, Mammalia, Primates, Lorisidae. The record is from RefSeq and is a predicted model, not a curated record. The transcript has 3 exons.
AAAUAAAUCAGGCCUCGUCUGCAUGACCAAAGUUCACAGAGCAGCCAGCCAGGAACACUGACUGAACCCUCCUUCCAGCUGUGGCUGAAUUCCACUCUGCCCCACGGGUCAGGAACAAUAAUAAACAGUCAAACCCACGGCAACUGUCCCCACACAGUCAGCCAAAGCAGUAGUCACACACCAUUGAUCUGCUCAGAAGUCAGUUCUGAUGUACCCCGAAUUUGAAAAGUUUCAGGGCUCUGCUCUCUCCUUUCCUUCCCCAGGGAAUGGAGACAGCUACUCUGAAGUUGGCCGGCGGAGAAAGCAUUCAGUCAGUCACGGUGAAAACCCUGUUUCUCCGGAGGUGGUGAUGUUUGAUGCAAGAGUCAUCAGUGGCCACUACAACCACCAAGCUCUGUAUUUGGCUGUGAGGAAGCUUUAGGGCCGAGUCUGUAACUCCUGUAGCACAUGGACAAGACUUUACAGAAUGAGUCCUGCGAUGCCAUGAGCCUCCUGGUUAUAUCUUCCCCCACCUUCCUAUAAGAUGGAUAUCAAACCCCAGCUCAUCUCAACUCAAACAGAGCCUCUCC